Molecule: ribosomal RNA, 704 nt
Filed under: Thermococcus sp. Tc70-7C-I
Lineage: Archaea; Methanobacteriati; Methanobacteriota; Thermococci; Thermococcales; Thermococcaceae
Description: bacterial SSU rRNA
Rfam family: Archaeal small subunit ribosomal RNA
Source: RNAcentral
CGUUGAUCCUGCCCGGAGGCCACUGCUAUGGGGGUCCGACUAAGCCAUGCGAGUCAUGGGGCGCGCUCUGCGCGCACCGGCGGACGGCUCAGUAACACGUCGGUAACCUACCCUCGGGAGGGGGAUAACCCCGGGAAACUGGGGCUAAUCCCCCAUAGGCCUGAGGUACUGGAAGGUCCUCAGGCCGAAAGGGGCAUCUGCCCGCCCGAGGAUGGGCCGGCGGCCGAUUAGGUAGUUGGUGGGGUAACGGCCCACCAAGCCGAAGAUCGGUACGGGCCAUGAGAGUGGGAGCCCGGAGAUGGACACUGAGACACGGGUCCAGGCCCUACGGGGCGCAGCAGGCGCGAAACCUCCGCAAUGCGGGCAACCGCGACGGGGGGACCCCCAGUGCCGUGGCAUCGCCACGGCUUUUCCGGAGUGUAAAAAGCUCCGGGAAUAAGGGCUGGGCAAGGCCGGUGGCAGCCGCCGCGGUAAUACCGGCGGCCCGAGUGGUGGCCGCUAUUAUUGGGCCUAAAGCGUCCGUAGCCGGGCCCGUAAGUCCCUGGCGAAAUCCCACGGCUCAACCGUGGGGCUUGCUGGGGAUACUGCGGGCCUUGGGACCGGGAGAGGCCGGGGGUACCCCUGGGGUAGGGGUGAAAUCCUAUAAUCCCAGGGGGACCGCCAGUGGCGAAGGCGCCCGGCUGGAACGGGUCCGACGGUGAGGG